GUGCUCUCGGUGAUGGGUGAGAUGACAUGUUUGAGCCGAAGAAGCAUUGUGAAGAGCAGGAUGAGAAGAAUGGCCAGGAGGCUCAGAAAUAAUCCUACAUACAUGUACAGGUUUGUGGUAUGAAGAUAUACAUUUGAUUAAACAUUUAUAGAUCAAAAGAACUUGGAGGGUAUACCUAUUCUGAGGAAAUAAAUGCAUCCUUCAUAAUGAGGUGUUGCUGGGUAAAGAUAAGAGUGAACAAUGGACACAAAGGUGACGAACUAUGAAAAGACAGAAGAGAGGAAAUUAAGAAAGGGAAAGAACACAGAAAAAUUGCCAAGGUGAGUAUAGGUAAGGAAGGAUGUGGGGGAGAAGAGGUGUGAAAAAAUGAGCUGCUGAGACAAAGAGAAAGAAGAGAAAUGGGAAAAUACUGGGAAAGAAGAGAGGAGGAAAGG
Molecule: long non-coding RNA, 434 nt
Organism: Peromyscus californicus insignis
Lineage: Eukaryota; Metazoa; Chordata; Mammalia; Rodentia; Cricetidae
Exons: 3
Source: RefSeq, a predicted model, not a curated record